Molecule: transfer RNA, 70 nt
Filed under: Erotides cosnardi
Lineage: Eukaryota; Metazoa; Arthropoda; Insecta; Coleoptera; Lycidae
Description: tRNA-Lys
Source: RNAcentral
CAUUAGAUGACUGAAAGCAAGUAAAGGUCUCUUAAACCUCCCUAUAGUAUUAUAGCACCUACUUCUGAUG